AGAGUUUGAUCCUGGCUCAGGAUGAACGCUGGCGGCGUGCCUAAUACAUGCAAGUCGAGCGAACGGACGAGAAGCUUGCUUCUCUGAUGUUAGCGGCGGACGGGUGAGUAACACGUGGAUAACCUACCUAUAAGACUGGGAUAACUUCGGGAAACCGGAGCUAAUACCGGAUAAUAUUUUUGAACCGCAUGGUUCAAAAGUGAAAGACGGUCUUGCUGUCAUUUAUAGAAUGGAUCCGCGCUGCAUUAGCUAGUUGGUAAGGUAACGGCUUACCAAGGCAACGAUGCAUAGCCGACCUGAGAGGGUGAUCGGCCACACUGGAACUGAGACACGGUCCAGACUCCUACGGGAGGCAGCAGUAGGGAAUCUUCCGCAAUGGGCGAAAGCCUGACGGAGCAACGCCGCGUGAGUGAUGAAGGUCUUCGGAUCGUAAAACUCUGUUAUUAGGGAAGAACAUAUGUGUAAGUAACUGUGCACAUCUUGACGGUACCUAAUCAGAAAGCCACGGCUAACUACGUGCCAGCAGCCGCGGUAAUACGUAGGUGGCAAGCGUUAUCCGGAAUUAUUGGGCGUAAAGCGCGCGUAGGCGGUUUUUUAAGUCUGAUGUGAAAGCCCACGGCUCAACCGUGGAGGGUCAUUGGAAACUGGAAAACUUGAGUGCAGAAGAGGAAAGUGGAAUUCCAUGUGUAGCGGUGAAAUGCGCAGAGAUAUGGAGGAACACCAGUGGCGAAGGCGACUUUCUGGUCUGUAACUGACGCUGAUGUGCGAAAGCGUGGGGAUCAAACAGGAUUAGAUACCCUGGUAGUCCACGCCGUAAACG
This 820-nucleotide ribosomal RNA is filed under the name uncultured bacterium. Its description in RNAcentral is "bacterial SSU rRNA". It matches the Rfam family "Bacterial small subunit ribosomal RNA", at positions 8 to 808 of the family's 1533-position model. The record is from RNAcentral.